This 697-nucleotide ribosomal RNA is filed under the name uncultured bacterium. Its description in RNAcentral is "bacterial SSU rRNA". It matches the Rfam family "Bacterial small subunit ribosomal RNA", at positions 125 to 817 of the family's 1533-position model. The record is from RNAcentral.
CCUACCUUUAACUCUGGGAUAGCCCGAAGAAAUUCGGAUUAAAUACCGGAUAAUAUCAAGAUAUGACAUCACAGCUUGAUUAAAGGCGCGAGUUGGUUAAAGAUGGGCAUGCGUCCCAUUAGUUAGUUGGGGAGGUAACGGCUCACCAAGGCGAUGAUGGGUAGGGGCUCUGAGAGGAUUACCCCCCACAUUGGUACUGAGACAGGGACCAAACUCCUACGGGAGGCAGCAGUGAGGAAUAUUGGGCAAUGGACGGAAGUCUGACCCAGCCAUGCCGCGUGCAGGAAGACGGCCUUAUGGGUUGUAAACUGCUUUUAUGUAGGGAAAAAGUUCAUAUUGCGAUAUGAUUUGAUGGUACUACAGGAAUAAGAAUCGGCUAACUCCGUGCCAGCAGCCGCGGUAAUACGGAGGAUUCGAGCGUUAUCCGGAUUUAUUGGGUUUAAAGGGUGCGCAGGCGGACUAUUAAGUCAGUGGUGAAAUUUUCCGGCUCAACCGGGACAGUGCCAUUGAUACUGAUAGACUAGAGUAUAAUUGACGUAUGUGGAAUGUAGCAUGUAGCGGUGAAAUGCAUAGAGAUGCUACAGAACACCGAUAGCGAAGGCAGCAUACGAAGCUAUAACUGACGCUCAUGCACGAAAGCGUGGGGAUCAAACAGGAUUAGAUACCCUGGUAGUCCACGCUGUAAACGAUGAUAACU